GUGGGGAAUUUUGGACAAUGGGGGCAACCCUGAUCCAGCCAUGCCGCGUGAGUGAAGAAGGCCUUCGGGUUGUAAAGCUCUUUCAGCCGGGAAGAAAACGCACUCUCUAACAUAGGGUGUGGAUGACGGUACCGGAAGAAGAAGCACCGGCUAACUACGUGCCAGCAGCCGCGGUAAUACGUAGGGUGCGAGCGUUAAUCGGAAUUACUGGGCGUAAAGGGUGCGCAGGCGGUUUUGUAAGACAGAUGUGAAAUCCCCGGGCUUAACCUGGGAACUGCGUUUGUGACUGCAAGGCUAGAGUACGGCAGAGGGGGGUGGAAUUCCGCGUGUAGCAGUGAAAUGCGUAGAUAUGCGGAGGAACACCGAUGGCGAAGGCAACCCCCUGGGCCUGUACUGACGCUCAUGCACGAAAGCGUGGGGAGCAAACAGGAUUAGAAACCCUAGUAGUCC
RNAcentral lists this ribosomal RNA (450 nucleotides) under uncultured bacterium. RNAcentral's name for it is "bacterial SSU rRNA". It matches the Rfam family "Bacterial small subunit ribosomal RNA", at positions 354 to 796 of the family's 1533-position model. The record is from RNAcentral.